UUAAGUUCAGCGGGUAGUCCUACCUGAUUUGAGGCCAGAUGUCAAAAGAUGUUGCGCCUUAUGAUGUGUAAACACAUGUAAAGCAUGACAGAGUCAUUGAUCGGCCAUCCCGAGAGAUGUCCUUAGUGAAAUAACUUAUAACACCAAGUCAAACCGACUGCAGACAGAGUCAAUCCGAAAUCAUUUUAAGGUGAGCCACU
Molecule: unclassified non-coding RNA, 200 nt
Filed under: Heterocephalacria sp.
Lineage: Eukaryota; Fungi; Basidiomycota; Tremellomycetes; Filobasidiales; Filobasidiaceae
Description: partial internal transcribed spacer 2
Source: RNAcentral